UAUAUAUGGAGGUUCUGUAAAUGGCGCAAACUGCAAAGAGUUGGCAGGACAACCUGAUUUGGACGGAUUUUUGGUCGGUGGAGCUUCGCUAAAGCCGGAGUUCGUGGACAUUAUCAAGUCUGCAUUGUGAAGAAAACCGCGCAGAUGUCUUGAAGAGCGAGACAUAAAUGAUGGUUCUUCUGUUUUGUUAAAGUAAUUUGAGGUACUCCUCACUAGUUAUGUAAGAGAAGCCUUGUUUGCUUUGAGGAAUUUGAGGCUCCUUGUUUGCUUUGAGGAAUUUGAGGCUCCUUGUUUGCUUUGA
This 301-nucleotide unclassified non-coding RNA is filed under the name Hevea brasiliensis (rubber tree). The record is from RNAcentral. Lineage: Eukaryota; Viridiplantae; Streptophyta; Magnoliopsida; Malpighiales; Euphorbiaceae.